RNAcentral lists this ribosomal RNA (522 nucleotides) under Nocardioidaceae bacterium JMT1945. RNAcentral describes it as "bacterial SSU rRNA". It matches the Rfam family "Bacterial small subunit ribosomal RNA", at positions 144 to 677 of the family's 1533-position model. The record is from RNAcentral. Lineage: Bacteria; Bacillati; Actinomycetota; Actinomycetes; Propionibacteriales; Nocardioidaceae.
UAACUUACCGGAAACGGAAGCUAAUACCGAAUACGACCACCGGAGGCAUCUUCUGGUGGUGGAAAGUUCCGGCGGUGAAGGAUGAGCUCGCGGCCUAUCAGCUUGUUGGUGGGGUAACGGCCUACCAAGGCGACGACGGGUAGCCGGCCUGAGAGGGUGACCGGCCACACUGGGACUGAGACACGGCCCAGACUCCUACGGGAGGCAGCAGUGGGGAAUAUUGGACAAUGGGCGAAAGCCUGAUCCAGCAACGCCGCGUGAGGGAUGACGGCCUUCGGGUUGUAAACCUCUUUCAGCAGGGACGAAGCGAAAGUGACGGUACCUGCAGAAGAAGCACCGGCCAACUACGUGCCAGCAGCCGCGGUAAUACGUAGGGUGCAAGCGUUGUCCGGAAUUAUUGGGCCGUAAAGGGCUCGUAGGCGGUCCAUCGCGUCGGGAGUGAAAAGCUGGGGCUUAACCCCAGUCCUGCUUCCGAUACGGGUGGACUAGAGGUAGGCAGGGGAGAACGGAAUUCCUGGUGUA